AAGUCGUAACAAGGUUUCCGUAGGUGAACCUGCGGAAGGAUCAUUAAGAAAUCCCACAAUUUUUUGGGUUUUCUGGCCAGAAAUCUGGGCGAGAGCUUUCGGGCUCGAGCCUUUUUUUUUGGCCUGAAUCCAUCACUCUAUGUGCACCGUCUACUGUACGCUGGUGUCAGUCUUUCUUUUGCCUCUCGAGGCGAGAAAAAGCAGCCGGCAACCCAACCCAAACCGUUUUAUCAUCAUUUGACAGUAUCAUUUUUUGUUUCGAUUUCUGGGGAGAAACCCUUUGGGGGACUCAAGAGAAAGACAAAUAUAAAUACAACUUUUGGCAACGGAUCUCUAGGCUCUGACUACGAUGAAGAACGCAGC
Molecule: unclassified non-coding RNA, 363 nt
Filed under: fungal sp.
Lineage: Eukaryota; Fungi
Description: partial internal transcribed spacer region
Rfam family: Eukaryotic small subunit ribosomal RNA (bases 1-46)
Source: RNAcentral